This 253-nucleotide ribosomal RNA is filed under the name uncultured bacterium. RNAcentral describes it as "partial 16S ribosomal RNA". It matches the Rfam family "Bacterial small subunit ribosomal RNA", at positions 524 to 776 of the family's 1533-position model. The record is from RNAcentral.
UACGGGGGGGGCAAGCGUUGUUCGGAAUUACUGGGCGUAAAGGGCGCGUAGGCGGCUUUUCAAGUGACGGGUGAAAUCCCCCGGCUUAACCGAGGAACUGCCUGUCAGACUGGAAGGCUUGAGACCGGGAGAGGUGAGUGGAAUUCCCAGUGUAGCGGUGAAAUGCGUAGAUAUUGGGAGGAACACCAGUGGCGAAGGCGGCUCACUGGACCGGAACUGACGCUGAGGCGCGAAAGCGUGGGGAGCAAACAGG